Molecule: long non-coding RNA, 829 nt
Filed under: Sus scrofa (pig)
Lineage: Eukaryota; Metazoa; Chordata; Mammalia; Artiodactyla; Suidae
Description: lncRNA (ENSSSCG00045018815.1)
Source: RNAcentral
CUUCACACCAGGUUUUGCUUUGUUUUGUUCACAGGCCCUGAACUAAGCUGCAGGAAUAGGGUCUGUGGGCUUGGAUCUCCUAUUGCUCCUUGGUUCCCACAAGCUGCUGAGGGCCUUUCCUGGCUUGGAGCCACACCCAACUUAUCAGCAUGGUCAUCUUCUUUCCAAAAUUGAGCCUACCUACCAGAGGGACCAUGGUUCACUAGAUCACCUCCGGAGCUGUUAGUUACAACAAUACCCGUGGUUUAUCGAAUGAUUUCCACAUGACUGAAGCCAAGUUAAAUACAUACAUCCUGUCAUCUGAUGGCCAGAACAGCUUAAUGAGGUUCCCCAUGGAGCAGCCGCAAGAAGAGGUAAAGCAGGCAGUCCUCAGGCUGAGCGAAGGAACAUUCUCAAGUUUUUAGGGAGUACCGAGAAAAUGAAAUAUCGUUUGUAUUGUCAUGACACCUAAACAAAUGGUCGAUUCCACGGGUCAAAUAUCAGCCAGAGGAGUUAAGGAGCAUCUUCAGUGAAGGGAGGAAAGGAGCAACAGGGAAAGGACCAUAAGCAAGACGCUCAGUGGCAUCCUGGUACGUGGCUCCUUUUAAGACUAGUAAUACCUGUUUGCCUUAUGGUGGGAUGUUUGUUUUACUUUCAUGAAAGAUGCUGGUAAGUUAGAACAUGUCUAAAAUCUACAAGGAUUUUGAACCCCUCUAUCUGGCUCAAUAAUCCUUUCCACAUCCUGAGACCUGAAUCAAGAUGUAAGGUUUCAACUAGGUUAGAAACCAUUCUCUUAAAUAACAAGUAUAAACCAAAUCUGAGUCUCAGAUUUGCUCUUUUUUUCCUGGCC